RNAcentral lists this ribosomal RNA (387 nucleotides) under uncultured bacterium. RNAcentral's name for it is "bacterial SSU rRNA". It matches the Rfam family "Bacterial small subunit ribosomal RNA", at positions 28 to 416 of the family's 1533-position model. The record is from RNAcentral.
GACGAACGCUGGCGGCGUGCUUAACACAUGCAAGUCGAGCGGUAAGGCCCUUUCGGGGGUACGCGAGCGGCGAACGGGUGAGUAACACGUGGGUGACCUGCCUCUAGCUCUGGGAUAAGCCUGGGAAGCUGGGUCUAAUACCGGAUAUGACCUCGCGGUGCAUGUUGCGGGGUGGAAAGCCUUGUGCGGCUAGGGAUGGGCCCGCGGCCUAUCAGCUUGUUGGUGGGGUGANGGCCUACCAAGGCGACGACGGGUAGCCGGCCUGAGAGGGCGACCGGCCACACUGGGACUGAGACACGGCCCAGACUCCUACGGGAGGCAGCAGUGGGGAAUCUUGCGCAGUGGGCGAAAGCCUGACGCAGCGACGCCGCGUGAGGGAUGACGGCC